Molecule: non-coding RNA, 2925 nt
Organism: Bactrocera oleae (olive fruit fly)
Lineage: Eukaryota; Metazoa; Arthropoda; Insecta; Diptera; Tephritidae
Source: RefSeq, a predicted model, not a curated record
AAAAAUUAAGAUAACGUGUGCACAAAAAUUAUAAAUUAAAUAAAAUAAAAUGUUUUAAAUACUAAAAUUAAGUAAUUUGACAAAUGAUGUGUGCGAAAUAUGGCGGAAGAGCGCUAAAUAGUACGGGAUUUCCUGAACCAUAAGUGAAUUUACGUGAUAAAUAAUAUAUUUUCGAUUUUGUACCAUAAUAUGUAUGUGUUGCUAUGAGAUUUACUGUUCCAAGUGCGAUUUAUAUUAAACUCUUUUUUUCGUAUUAUUAUUCAAAGUCUACAAAAUUGCUAUUCGAAACUUUUUUAAAGUUUCAAUUGCCGCUGAUUCUGAUAUAAUUUUGUAUAUACUUUCCGACAACAUAAAAUAUUCACAGUCUAAUCUAAGUCUCGGUUUUAUAUUUUUAUAGCACUGUUAAAUCCUUUAAAAAAAAGAUUAGAUCGCGGGGAGAUUGUACGUAAUUUAUUUAAAGCAAUUCACAACAUUUUGUUACCUAGCAAAGCAAUUCAUGCUUAUCGAUUGAGAGAUUGAGAUUAAAUGUCUCACUUGAAUACUGUAUAGGUGUUUGCUUGAUUGGAGAACGCGAUUAAUGAACUAAAAUUUAACGUAAUUAGUUUCAACGACAAUUGAUCUAAAGGCGUUAAAAUAUGUUUAUGUUUUAUUAUGUUUGUAUGUACAGUUUGUAGAUAGAGAUUAAAACAAAAGAGCUACAUUAUUGCCAGAAGCUAUUAGAAUUAUGACAAGAUGUGAGUCAUAGUAUGAGGAGUAAAAAAAUAUCUUAAAAUUCAAAUAUGGUUCAGGCUCAUAAACCGUACUAAAAUUGCAAUUAUGAGUACAUUACUUAAUGAAAUUAAAUAUUAAUAUACAUAUUAUGUAAGUAUAUUUAUAAUGUCAUAUUUUGUUAAUAUGAAAAUAUAUGCAAUAUAAAAUAUAUAUUAUUAAAAAUUAUUAGUGAUUAUAUUGUUUUAGCUCAAAGAUUAUAAAUAUUGUAAGACUUUAAUAUUAUACUAAAAUCAAGAAAUAUUGUUAAAUACAUCGAAAGCGUUCAUAAAAAUUCUUUUGAACAAAUAUAAAAUAUUUGAUAGCCGCAAAGAAGUCACAAAUAAAUUUUAAUAAAACACAUUUUUAAAUACACCAAAAGCGUUAAAGUAUUUUGUACUUAUUGAUUUUCAUUUGGCUCGUAAAUUGGAAAAAUAAGUAAAAUUUUAAUUUUCGUUUACGAAAUAUCAAUAAAUCACAUAUGCAUACAUAAAUGCUAUGAACAUCAAAUGAGUUUGUUUAUAUAAACGAAAUGAAAAACCAAAUUAGUCCAACAAAAAAAAUAAACAAACACGGACAGUUGUACUUAAGUUUCAAAGAGAAAAUAAUUUAGAGCUUACUGAAAAAUCUCAUCGGUUUUGUAUGUUAUAUAUAUAGGCAAUAUUUCGAACACGUUUAACAAUUAAAUGCCUAGUGGUUUAAGACAAUAUGCACACAAAAAAUGGAAUUCGCGUAUUUGAAUACAAUUAAUAUUUAAACUGUUAAUUAGUUUUUAGUUUUACUUAAAAUGGUAAUGAUAAACACACCACAAUAUGUAUAUAAUAACUAUAUAUCUAAAAUGAGUGAUUUACAAUGUACACUUUAACAUUUUUUUUGUUGUUUUUUGUGUGUAUCAUAUGUAUGUGUAUGUUAUCUCUAUUUGUAGUAAAUAGUUUCGUUUUGUUGGAUUUUUUUAAAUUUCUCUCGUUAUUUACUCUUUCCAAAAACAUACACCAUAUACAUAUAUAGCUUUGCGUUUAAAUAUAUACAUCCAUGAAAAAUCUUUCCCAAAAAUAACUUUGUUUAAUAUAAAUGAAGCCUUUAAAAAUGAGUUUAUAUUUUUAUAUAUGCAGUAUAUAAUAUAUAGCUUCUCUGUAUGUAUUAUGUAUAUAUAGUAUACAUAUUUUAGCAUGUAUACUACAGCUUUUAUGUGAAUACGACGCCAGUAUUUAAGUAAAUAGUAGCGAUAGUUGCAUUUGUUCCGCUGCUUUUAGCUCUAUAUACUGUUACUUUCACCAUUUUUUACUGUUUACUUAUCGCUCGCGUUGGCUGUUCUAUUAUGUUGUUUGUUUCCUUCGUGUAUGAAAACUUAGUUAUAAAUAUAACACGUCGCUAAAUAAAUUGCAUGUUCUCGUUUAAAACAUUUUUUUUUUUACUAUUUACGCAGUAAAUUAUUUACGAACUGUUGCUUUUUAGUUAUUUCAAUUUUAGUUUAUACAUUUUUCUUUUAUUUUGCACUUUUUAACUAACGCACAAAAAACGCAAAAUGCUUCAAAGUUGUUAACGUUGCUGUUCAUCCAACUCUUCAGGUACACUCACACAUUUAGGCGAUGGCGGCGAGACUGGUGUGGGCGGCGUCUUAUUAGCAGCCGGACCAACUGUUGGCUCAAUUUGUCGCAAUGUCUCAUCGACACCAUACUUUUCAUCCUCAUCGAAAUAAUCGCUAAAAUCGUUGAGCUGUUGUUCGAAAUUUACCAUGGCUUCUUCGUAGGUGCCAUUAUUACCACCAUAUUCGACGGGCAGAUACUCCUUGCCAAUUGCCUUAUGCAGUGACUCCAGCGUAGAGUGUAUGUGGAGCUGUGCAAAUGAUAUACGAACAAUAAGUAUUAGAAAUUGAACCGAAAUAGCCGCCAGUACCAAUGUGUACACCCGACUAAUGGAAAAGAAAAUCUGCUAUAAAUUAACGGAUUAAUCUAGUUUUUUGUCUGUGGUCUGUGCAUAUUCUCACGAAAUUUAAAAGUACUUAAGUUGAAACUAAUCUGCAUUUUAUCUCAUCAUUUAAAAAUAAAGUUUAAGUUCAAUCUCAAAAGCUUGCGUGUGUCAAAAAAGUGAUAAUAUAUUAAACAUGCUGUUCUGGUAGACGUAUGCUUUAUAGCUUAAGUUUAUGUGUCAUUAAAUAUUUCAAACUUCUACUUAUUA